UCCGGCCGCCGCCCCACACGUUCUCUCUCGGCUCCGGCCGCUGCCCCCACCUACUCCCUCGGCUCCGGCCGCCGCUCCCCACCUUCUCCCUCGGAUCCGGCCGCCGCUCCCCACCUUCUCCCUCGGUUCCGGCCACCGCUCCCCACCUUCUCCCUUGGAUCCGGCCACCGCCCCACACUCCAACCACAGAUCGAGCUGUGGCUGUUGCCUUGCCCCAGAUCAUGCCGCCCAAAACCAUCCAUCGCCACGAGGGCCACCUGAACGACAUCCUUCCCGCGCCGCCGCUAUCUCUCCUUUCUCCGCCUUGCUCCAGCCAAGCACCUCCUCACCUCCAUUGAUGUUCAACACUUCGUCCUGUUCAUCCCAUGCCGGCUGCGCUCGUGGCCGAGCUCACUCCAAUCCCUCCACCAUGCUACCUCCUUCCGAUGGUGAGGCUUCAUCACUGCAACACCCCGACUAUUCACUGUCACCACCCCGGGCCGUUCAACGAGACGGCGCCAAGUCGUUCGAUGCUGCAACUCAGGAGUCUACCUCCUUUGACAGCUCCUGAUCUCCGGAACAGCCAUGGCUCCCUGCCGGCACAAAUCGCCAUCGACGACCUCCUUUGAUAGCUUGCCUCUGAGGCCCACCAGACCCACACAGACGAUGCUGGAUGUCCACAGCCACCAGCACAGGCCGUUCACACUCACCACUCAUGGCCGUUCUCAAAACCAUCCCAAAGUGUAGAUCGUACAUGAGGACAUGGCCGAGGGCCGUUCACUGUCGCCACCCCGGGCCGUUCAACGAGACAGCAAGCACAUGUUUCCAGAAUCGAGCAGUAAAAGGGUACUGUCGGAGAUAAGUAGUAAGCGGCAAAAUGUUUUGAGGCAGCAGCAAGACGAGGCAUAAAAGCUGGCGAGCAGUAUAAACAUUUGCUAUGGAGCAGUACACAUAUUUAAACUCCUCAUCCCGGUGAGUGGUCCGACACCGCCAGCCGAGGCCGUCCACCAACCCCGCCAGCCGAGGCCGUUCACCAUCGCCUCAGUGUGAGUUCAUUGUUGAGAACAAGCGUGGCCACCUACUGUUCGCGGUAGUCGCCUUGGCCGCCCUCGGCCACGAGCUCAUCCACAAUGGUUACUGGCAUCCGUUCAAGUGGAGCGCGGGGAACAGUCCAAGCUGAAAUCAUGGCCACCAUCUUCACCAUGCACGGGGAUUUUGUAGCAAUUUGCAAAAAAAGCUUUACACAUUUUCAGUUUAUGAAAAGCUAAUAAGUUCAGACUCUGGAAGCAGAGAUUGUCGUUUGUUAAAGGUCUGGUGUUUAGUUAGCGGUUAUGUGGUAUCUACACCGGCACUUUUUGUCAAGACCUCAAGAAGAGAUAUCAUCUCAAGGUGAAAAAAUACAAAAUCCUUUUACUGCUCUCUUUCUUCUCUCACUCAUUCAUCUUAUUAUAUGCACACAAAUUCAUGUCAUCCUGAAUUUGUUACACUGGUGCGGGAGCAAAAAACAGAUGCACAAGUUCAUCUUCAGUGACACACUCGGUUCAAAUUCUAAUUUUAGUUAGUGCAAUUCUUUUUUUAGUUCAAUGCCGAUUUCUGACUUCCUCAGCCAUCACCUCCACCUCGUGUAAGUACGUUGCCGAGAACAAGCAUGACCACCUACAGUUCCCGAUGGUCGCCUUGGCUGCCCUCGGCCACAAGCUCGUCCACCAUGGUUACUCGCAACCGUCCAAGUGGAGCACGGACAUCAGUACAAGUAGAAUUGAAGCCACCAUCUUCACCAAGCUUUGCACAGCCGUCCAAGUUGAGCACACAUAACAGUCCAAGGUGAUGCAUGGUCACUAAUGGAUUCAACAUAUUUUAUUAGUUUGAAUUCUGCAUGUCUCAAUUCUGUGGAUGCUUACCGCUCUCUGAAAUGGCGAUGGUGUACAAUACAAAAAUCUGAAUGCUCACACUUGCUACUUGCUAUAUCUGAUACUAGGCUUUUUUCCAAUAUGCUACUUGCUACUUGUAGUUGUCAUGGGUGCUGGAUGGACAGGCUGUUUUUGUUAAUAUGAUAUUAGUCAAUUACUUUUACAGACCUCUUAUUGGAAUUGGGGCUGCAACUAAAGUAGCAAAAAUAUGAUGUAUUUCAAAUAUCAUGAUGAAAACAAGGAACCUAACAACUCUUCAUCUCAAGGUGACUAGUUUCUGAACCUAUUAUCUAAAACUAAAAUGAACCAUGGAAGUAGAACAAGUAAUUAUCAGUCUUGGCUGGGCAUGGAACUGAUUUCCCCUGGUCUUGGAACUGAUUUCAAGAGUAAAUUAUGGAAAAAAUUAACAAGUACUCAAGUCCAACUUGCAAACCAGUAUCAGUUCUAUAGUGCAAGCAUGCAUCAAAUUUCAAAAGCGAACCUGACUUAUAUAUAAAAUGUCUUGAUGCAUGCUAUUAGAAAUCUAAAAAUAAACUCAGUACAGUUCCUAUAUUUUUAGUACAUGUUCUACUGUAAAUUAAUAUGUGUUCUACUGUAACUUUUUUAAAAACAGUAUAUGUUCUACUGUAAAAAAACAUACAUAAAAUGUCUUGAUGCAUGCUAGCAGAAAUCUAAAAAUAUACUUAGUACAGCUCCUAUAUUUUAUUUUAGUUCAAUUUCAAACUCUAAUUCAGUUCAAUUCUGGUUUUAUUAAACUUGCUAUGGAGUUGCCGUAUUCCUAAUGCUGGAGAAUUGGCUAAACCCAACCCGCAACUCCGUUUGCUCACAUGGAAGUCCAUGGUUUUGCAAAGAAGCAUGGUUUUACAAUCUUCCAAAGGGAUGCAAGGAAGGGAUGAAAAGAAGUUGGGGCACAAUUCUUGUAUAAUUGCACCAUGGAGCGCGUGGUCCUUAGUUAAAACAAACACAAAACAAUUUCUAGUCAUGCCAAAACAUCGAUCUCCCGUCACCCAUCGUCACAUUAGUGCAAGCAGCGAAGAGUUGUCUGUCCACCGAAUCAAUAGGUACUUUUGUUCCAUGGUCUGCCAGUGGUGUCUUACUCGAGCCAGGGCCACCGUAGAUGCAAAGCAUGGAUGUAAGCUGUGAUAUCCUUGAUUCCUAGCCCACCCCUGGACUUUGGCGCACAAAUCCGUUUCCAGUUGACCAACAUUUUCCACCAUACGCCUCAUCCUCAAUAUUCCAAAGGAAUUUUCUUCUAAGUUUGUCAAUCUUCUUGAUCGCCCAUUUAUCUAGCUCAAAGGCAGUCAUGAAGUAAGAGUGGAAGUGUCAUCCAUCAGUUUGUUUUACCUGUUAUCUUUGGGCUAUGGAGUAUAAUUUCAGCUUGGUCCUCUUGAAGGCUCUCAUUGGUCUAAAACUAGUAACAAUCCACCGAUGUCAUCCAUUAGCAAUUGCACGGGUUCAUUUAUGAGAAAACAUUAUGACUACCAGCAGGAUCAACCAAGUAGCACAUGCAUCUUCGUUGGUGGUGCUUCCAAGUGCAUGGCAAGGCUGAGGCAAUAGGCAAGCCAGUUUAUCACGAUUGAGCGGCCUAGUGUGGAUACAUGAGGCGACAGAAAUAUGCUGAUUGUUCUUAAUUGGGAGGGCUUUGGGGGCGAGGCAACCAAAAAGGCUACAAGUGUUUAUCGUGAGCAACAUUCAAGGCUAACAAGGGGAUGGACCGCCUGGUAUCACCAAGCACAUAACAUGCCUACACCACGAGGCAAUGCCGCAACUAUUGUUUGGCCACAGCAGCACAUCUGGAGGUCAUUAAGCUUCUGCAAGCACAAGUAGCGUGGGAUCACCGACUCAAAUCAUCGUACUAGACCCGAGCAAUUGGUCACCACAAAGAAGCUAGCGUAAGGUCGCCAAGUCAUUCAAAAAGAACAGACCAAACAUCACCUAGAAAGACACACAGAGAUCACUCGGAGAUUUCGGCACGUGACAUAUACACCCAGCAGAGAUGGCAGAGCAGGAAAUGUUUUUUAAUCACACUGCACCAAGGAAAAGAUGUAUUUUUAACUGCCAAAUAAGUUGGUUGUGGCAAUAAUAUCCAGCUUGUUCGCCCAAGAAAUGUAUUUGUUGCGACAAGUAGGAUCGUUUUUACAUGCUCCAGCAAAGUCAUUGCAGCCAAGAUUCCCCUCCAUGAUUUUCGUUGGAGGAGCUGUGUUCCUUAACAAUGUCUAGUUCGCAUACGAAUUAGCUUGAUUGUUCACCAGUUUCAAUUGGCGGCACCAAACAAAUUUUUCGGUUGUGGCCUAGUCCCUAGUCCUCGGACCGA
Molecule: long non-coding RNA, 4203 nt
Organism: Triticum aestivum (bread wheat)
Lineage: Eukaryota; Viridiplantae; Streptophyta; Magnoliopsida; Poales; Poaceae
Exons: 5
Source: RefSeq, a predicted model, not a curated record